UGUUUCAUUUCUGACCGUCACGGUGAUUAUCAUUACUAAUCGCUAACUCAUCGCAAGGCGUCCGUGCGUCAGGCACAGAGCAGAGCGCCCGGCGUGGAUUUCCUUCACUCGUUUUUCGUGCAGCAAAUCUUUGUUAAGUGCCUGCUCUGUGCCAGGCAUGGGGCCAGGCCCCCGGGAGAUGGCGGUGAGCAGAAUCAACGUGGCCCCUGUCCUCACACUGUGACAUUGUAGGAGCAGCAGACCAUGAGGGAAGACCUUAAUCCACGAGUGGGCUAAUUCCACACAGAGGUGCUGGGGACGCAGCAGGAAAGGCAGCAGGCACCCAAUGUCCGACACCAAUACACAGAGGGGUGUGGAUGCGCUCGAAGGACAGGUGCCGAGGACAGAGUGAGAAGAGGAGAGGGUGACACGUCACCACGUGGGGACAAAAGAGACCCGCGCCUGGGCAGGAACGCCCAGCGGGCUGUUUCAAGACUGGCGGGUGUGGACGCCCUGGGUGUUGGUGGCAGCUGGCAAGCGAGGAGGUCAGAGGCCGAGCUGGAGCGAGGCCAGACCCCCGAGGGGCACUGCCGUUUUCAUGAGGACGAGGCCUUCGUGGGAAUCAGGAAACAGCUUCCAAAAGACGCUUUCUCCCUCAGCUGAAAAACGGAUGUCAUGAUUCACGAAUCGACCGAGCCCGUGGUCGUGCCACAGACCCCUG
This 700-nucleotide long non-coding RNA is filed under the name Equus caballus (horse). RNAcentral describes it as "lncRNA (ENSECAG00000055230.1)". The record is from RNAcentral. Lineage: Eukaryota; Metazoa; Chordata; Mammalia; Perissodactyla; Equidae.